RNAcentral lists this ribosomal RNA (394 nucleotides) under Trachylepis maculilabris. Its description in RNAcentral is "partial 12S ribosomal RNA". It matches the Rfam family "Bacterial small subunit ribosomal RNA", at positions 831 to 1394 of the family's 1533-position model. Lineage: Eukaryota; Metazoa; Chordata; Lepidosauria; Squamata; Scincidae. The record is from RNAcentral.
CUUAGCCCUUAACAUAGACAGUAGACACACAAUACUGUCCGCCAGAGAACUACAAGUGAAAAACUCGAAACUCUAAGGACUUGGCGGUGCUCCAUAUCGACCUAGAGGAGCCUGUCCUAUAAUCGAUAACCCACGUUUUACCUUACCCCUUCUUGCAACUCAGCCUAUAUACCGCCGUCGCCAGCCUACCUUAUGAAAGAAACAAAGUAGGCACAACAGUUAACAACUAAAACGUCAGGUCAAGGUGUAGCACAUGAAGAGGAAGAGAUGGGCUACAAUCUCUACAACAGAGCACACGAAUGGCACAAUGAAACCUAUGCCUGAAGGCGGAUUUAGCAGUAAGCUCAAUAAGAAACUUCACCUGAAACCCGCUCUGGAGCGCGCACACACCGCC